Long non-coding RNA from Homo sapiens (human), 450 nucleotides. RefSeq lists it as uncharacterized. The record is from RefSeq and is a predicted model, not a curated record. NCBI's taxonomy places the organism in Eukaryota, Metazoa, Chordata, Mammalia, Primates, Hominidae. The transcript is spliced from 5 exons.
AUUUGGACGUACACACUCUGAGUUUUGUUUUUAUCUCAUUACCUUAUGACUCUGACUACUACAUCUCUAAAAUAGGCUACAGGAUAAUCAGGGAAGACCACUCCAGCUGGAGGGAGUUACUGGUGCAAAUGUCAGAGUGCCCAAGCAUGCCAAGAAGAAGAAAAGUCAUUACUGUAUGAGCAUUAACAUAGGUGGUUCUAAAUCACAUCACAGCUGUCAUUCUUGUUGUGUCAGUCAAGGAAUCUGAUGAAACAUAGAACAAUUUCAGACAGGCCAAGGCCUCCUAUGAGAAAUCCCACUCGUGUGCACUGUGAUCAGGCAUUGCCUUGCUGUGAUAAUAACUCCCCUGGGCCGAGAGCUACAAUAAAAAGAAAACGAAGAUAAAGAAACAGAGGGAAACAGAAACCAUCCAUAAUCCUACUCCUUCAAAGACAGCUACAGUCAAAUUCU